UGCUAUACAUGCAGUCGAACGAGUUCUGAUUAUUGAAAGGUGCUUGCAUCUUGAUUUAAUUUUGAACGAGUGGCGGACGGGUGAGUAACACGUGGGUAACCUGCCCUUAAGUGGGGGAUAACAUUUGGAAACAGAUGCUAAUACCGCAUAAAUCCAAGAACCGCAUGGUUCUUGGCUGAAAGAUGGCGUAAGCUAUCGCUUUUGGAUGGACCCGCGGCGUAUUAGCUAGUUGGUGAGGUAACGGCUCACCAAGGCAAUGAUACGUAGCCGAACUGAGAGGUUGAUCGGCCACAUUGGGACUGAGACACGGCCCAAACUCCUACGGGAGGCAGCAGUAGGGAAUCUUCCACAAUGGACGCAAGUCUGAUGGAGCAACGCCGCGUGAGUGAAGAAGGCUUUCGGGUCGUAAAACUCUGUUGUUGGAGAAGAAUGGUCGGCAGAGUAACUGUUGUCGGCGUGACGGUAUCCAACCAGAAAGCCACGGCUAACUACGUGCCAGCAGCCGCGGUAAUACGUAGGUGGCAAGCGUUAUCCGGAUUUAUUGGGCGUAAAGCGAGCGCAGGCGGUUUUUUAAGUCUGAUGUGAAAGCCCUCGGCUUAACCGAGGAAGUGCAUCGGAAACUGGGAAACUUGAGUGCAGAAGAGGACAGUGGAACUCCAUGUGUAGCGGUGAAAUGCGUAGAUAUAUGGAAGAACACCAGUGGCGAAGGCGGCUGUCUGGUCUGUAACUGACGCUGAGGCUCGAAAGCAUGGGUAGCGAACAGGAUUAGAUACCCUGGUAGUCCAUGCCGUAAACGAUGAAUGCUAGGUGUUGGAGGGUUUCCGCCCUUCAGUGCCGCAGCUAACGCAUUAAGCAUUCCGCCUGGGGAGUACGACCGCAAGGUUGAAACUCAAAGGAAUUGACGGGGGCCCGCACAAGCGGUGGAGCAUGGGGUUUAAUUCUAAACCACGCGAGAGCCUUACCAAGUCUUGACAUCUUUUGAUCA
Molecule: ribosomal RNA, 985 nt
Filed under: Lacticaseibacillus rhamnosus
Lineage: Bacteria; Bacillati; Bacillota; Bacilli; Lactobacillales; Lactobacillaceae
Description: bacterial SSU rRNA
Rfam family: Bacterial small subunit ribosomal RNA
Source: RNAcentral